Small RNA from Streptomyces sp. CB01249, 62 nucleotides. It matches the Rfam family "Streptomyces RNA 2736". Rfam says of the family: Identified by deep sequencing of transcriptome at the end of exponential growth phase. Appears smaller on northern blot than sequencing transcript. The record is from Rfam. NCBI's taxonomy places the organism in Bacteria, Bacillati, Actinomycetota, Actinomycetes, Kitasatosporales, Streptomycetaceae.
CGCCCGGCCGGAUCCCGUGGGGGGAAUCCGCUCCGGGACAUGGGAAGCGCCUCGCUGUCGGC